ACGUAGGGUGCGAGCGUUAAUCGGAAUUACUGGGCGUAAAGUGUGCGCAGGCGGCCGCGCAAGUCGAGUGUGAAAGCCCCGAGCUUAACUUGGGAAUUGCGCUCGAAACUACGUGGCUGGAGUGUGGCAGAGGAAGGUGGAAUUCCAGGUGUAGCGGUGAAAUGCGUAGAGAUCUGGAGGAACACCAGCGGCGAAGGCGGCAAACUGGAUAGGAACUGACACUCAACAACGAAAGCGUGGGGAGCAAACAGGA
RNAcentral lists this ribosomal RNA (253 nucleotides) under uncultured prokaryote. RNAcentral describes it as "partial 16S ribosomal RNA". It matches the Rfam family "Bacterial small subunit ribosomal RNA", at positions 525 to 777 of the family's 1533-position model. The record is from RNAcentral.